CCUACGGGUGACAGCAGUGAGGAAUAUUGGUCAAUGGGCGCGAGCCUGAACCAGCCAAGUAGCGUGAGGGAUGACUGCCCUACGGGUUGUAAACUUCUUUUAUAAGGGAAUAAAGUCCGGCACUUGUGCCGUUUUGUAUUUACUGUACGAAUAAGGUUCGGCUAACUCCUGGCCAGCACCCGCGGUAAUACGGAGGGUCCGAGCGUUAUCCGGAUUUGUUGGGUUUAAAGGGAGCGUAGAGGGGUUGUUAAUGCAGGUGGGAAAGUUGGGGGCUCAAACGUAGAAUUGCAGUUGAUACUGGGAGCCUUGAGUGCGGCAGAGGUAGGCGGAAUUCGUGGUGUAGCGGUGAAAUGCAUAGAUAUCACGAAGAACACCGAUUGCGAAGGCAGCCUACUGGGGUGCAACUGACGCUGAUGCUCGAAAGUGUGGGUAUCAAACAGGAUUAGAUACCCUAGUAGUC
This 460-nucleotide ribosomal RNA is filed under the name uncultured bacterium. RNAcentral describes it as "partial 16S ribosomal RNA". It matches the Rfam family "Bacterial small subunit ribosomal RNA", at positions 338 to 795 of the family's 1533-position model. The record is from RNAcentral.